AUAGGACUAUUGGUGAGGUCCACUACCCCGUUAAGGUAGCGCUCGAGAAGAGCUAGGGUUCGAAUCCCUCCCCUGCCCA
RNAcentral lists this transfer RNA (79 nucleotides) under Prevotella sp. Its description in RNAcentral is "tRNA-Asn". The record is from RNAcentral. Lineage: Bacteria; Pseudomonadati; Bacteroidota; Bacteroidia; Bacteroidales; Prevotellaceae.